ACGAGGAUCACCUGUUGCUCUGGCUGGUAGUAUCACGUAGGCGUCCCUCCGCUCAGUUCUAUCAAUAUUUGAUCUCGCUUGAGUCACAAACGGAUUCUUUCCGUUUUGUUUGGUGAUUGAGAUAUUUUCACGACACCACGGACAGACAGCUACAUUUCACAAGGCUAUUUUUCAACAAAAUGUCGAUCGUCAUUUAUUCGAAAAUGUGAAAAAAACGCACAGAUUUCCAAACGCGGAAGUACUUCGUUCUAAGUAGAAGCUGGAAGUGACAUGAGAAUUAAGUAUCUUGACGUAAAACACAUUAAAUUGGAUUGAUGUUUGGUUGUGCGACCAGCAACAGCUAGCUAGGAUUGCCCCUGUUGUGUGUGGUGUGGGGGGGGGGCGCUUUUCCAUGCGCGUGUUUGUGUUUAAAAUGAUUGGCCAACAACCAGGAAGUGCACUGUGCAGCAGCUCGACAGCGCCCUCCCACCCACGCCAUGGUCAUUGAGGUCUGGGCCUGCCUCGCUGCAGAUGUUUCCAGGCCACACAGGACAGGACAUGAGUUGACCCGCUCAACAGAUGGCGAGGACGGGAGGGAAGACGCUCACUUCCUCUGCUCUUGUCACCUUUGACCUUUCUGAGACGCCCACGUGCAGUGAUGGACAGUGCCGUCAGCGAGAGGACUCCGUCGCAUCCGUCACUUUCGUCUCGGGUCGAUACGCACCGCGAUGUGAGGAAAGAGAUAAAGGCUGGGAGGAAGUCUUAUUGAUCUUUGGCAUCAAACUACCUUCAGGAUUCACCACUGCAGAAAAUCCAAUUCUUCUUAUUGGCGGACAUGUUGGUUAAUGAGAUCACUCUUAUUCACUUUACCGCAGCGUAUUUUACUUUAAGAGACGGGCAAGGACCGGUUGGCUAAAUGUCACUCAAAGGAAAGCUUCCAAAGGAUACAGAAAAUAAAUAAGUAAAUAAUAAAUAAAGAGAUAAAGUUCCGUGACUCAAGCCACAAUCUACGAAAGAAUAGUGUUCAUAGUCGUAGCAAGUUGGAAAUUUCACGUUAUUAAUUACCAUUACUAAUAAGGUAGAGCUUCAAGUUGGAAUUUUAGGAGAAAAAAGGCUUUUGUACAAUAAAGUUCUAACAUCAACGGCAAAGAUUUUCAGGAAAAUUCUAGUCUUUUUUUGUUUAAAGUACUAUUAUUAAGUUGUAAUUAUUAGCAACAUAAUAAAGUUGUCAUUUUAUGAGGGGAAAAAAGUUACAUUUACCAUAAAGUUGUAACAUUAACAGAAAACAAAACUAAAAUCCCCAAACUACGCUCUUUUUCUUAAUUAAACACAGUGAGUGUUGAUCCAGUAAACAUACACAGCAGUGGUUCCCAGUGGUUACGUGAAAAAAAAAACAAUUAGCGCCUAAAACUCAAACUUACGAGUGUACCUGAACGCCUCACAGCGCGAGGAGACCGCAGACAGGAAAAAGACAGCGCGGCAAGUUGGUCCUUGCUCUUUGUGAUUCAUAUCAACAAAUAAGUAAGUUUGAAUGAUGACUUCGUCAUGACACAACUAGGAUAUUGGGGUUCGAUUCCCCGCUUGGGCAUCUCUGUGUGGAGUUUGCAUGUUCUCCCUGUGUAUGCGUGGGUUUUCUCCGGGUACUCCGGUUUCCUCCCACAUUCCAAAAACAUGCUAGGUUAAUUAGCCACUCCAAAUUGUCCAUUCACCCUAAAAUGAUACUUUAUUGUUGGUUGUAUGUAUUUCAGAUACUAUUAAAAAAGGGAGGUAGUGGUUAUUUUAGAGUUGGGACAUCAUGGAAAGAUCCCAGUCAGAUAUUGAACACUUCAUAUUCAACAUGCAGAAUCAAAACAAUCAAACUGCU
Non-coding RNA from Doryrhamphus excisus (bluestripe pipefish), 1843 nucleotides. NCBI's taxonomy places the organism in Eukaryota, Metazoa, Chordata, Actinopteri, Syngnathiformes, Syngnathidae. The record is from RefSeq and is a predicted model, not a curated record.